UUGUCCCCCCCCCCUCCUCGGACCCGCUCGAAUUCGUGGCCCCGAUUUGUCGGGCCAGGAGCGGAAAGAUCGCCGUAACCGUCUACGAUUCUGUCGUAAAGCCUCGCCUACAAUAGUCGCGCAGGCUGCGCGUGUCGCAUGUCAAAACGGAAGCUGAGGACGAUCUUAUUGUUACUGCAGACAAGAAGAUAAUAGCCUUCGCCCGCGCAAACCCCCCGUUGCGGCGGAAGCGUAUUAAAAUUGAUGAAAAGGACAGGAAUAUCAUCGAUCGAGCGUUUUCACUGAGCAAACGGCAACAUAAAGACAGUAAAUUAAAGAAUUGGGAGCAAAGUUGUAGAAAGAUUAAUGCGUGGCUGCGAUCGAUUUAACGCUAUCGCGAAUCUUCGCGGCUAUUGUAGACGCUCCGUUCAGCGGCAAACUUUCCUGCGACACGUGACGCAGCCUGUGCGAUUAUUACAGACGAGGCUUCGGGACUCGAGUCGGUAGUCCACGCACAAAGAAUUGUCGCAUUCGUCGCGUGGCAAGGCGGAGAAAAAUUCGCGAGUCGUGAAAGUCUACCGUACCACUUCUUCUCCGCCUCUUGCCUCGCGCGGCGCCCGCGAUGAGAUUUCGAGACGCGCGAUUUAGAAAAUUGGCCAAUUACAGUCGAGUGUCCUCGCAUUAGACUACGAUUGAAAUCUCUCGCGCCUUAAAAAGUCUCAUCGUAGACGCCGCGCCACGUCCACGACUUGGGACAGUCUCGAGAGUUUACGGAUCGUUGCCUGCCACCGGGCCAGAGACGCGGCACGUGGAGGUAGAAAAAAAAACAAACAAACAAGCAAGCAAGCACGACUCGGAAUGACGAUUUGUAAUUGUAUUAAUUUUAUUGCGUUAUUAUACAUAUGCACACAUACAUGCACAUCGGUGAUGUCAGGAAAGGUGUAUGUGUGUUUGUUGUGUGUGUAUAUGUGUAUGUCGCGCACGUGUCCCGUCACGCGUAUCGAUCUCUCACGCACACGCGUACGCGCGCGCCAUGCCGUGUGCGCGCACGUAUCUCGCUCACGUAUGUACGUAUAUGUAUAAUAAUAGCGGCAUACGUAGCUCGUGACACGUAUGGUAUCAACACUGUACAGCGUGUAUAAUCCGUCUACCAGUAUCGUCCAAGUCCCGACCCUUUGUUGUGCUCGUGUACGUCCGACUAAUAGAAAAAUAAACGUUUCAGAUAGAACGCGCCGUACGCUCGCUUCUCGCGAAAGGUGCGAAAAAUAAA
Vollenhovia emeryi is the source of this 1249-nucleotide long non-coding RNA. RefSeq lists it as uncharacterized. NCBI's taxonomy places the organism in Eukaryota, Metazoa, Arthropoda, Insecta, Hymenoptera, Formicidae. The record is from RefSeq and is a predicted model, not a curated record. The transcript has 2 exons.